RNAcentral lists this long non-coding RNA (1314 nucleotides) under Chinchilla lanigera (long-tailed chinchilla). RNAcentral describes it as "lncRNA (ENSCLAG00000022859.1)". Lineage: Eukaryota; Metazoa; Chordata; Mammalia; Rodentia; Chinchillidae. The record is from RNAcentral.
CAGACGUUUGCCAGGCAAUUUCCCUCUGUCUCUGUUUAUUUAGGGAAGAAAAGGAAUGGAAGAAAGAAAUGGAAAGUGGUAAGAAUUUAGGGUUACAAAAACAAGGCCAGGGGUAGAGACGCCAAAGAGCCUGUGCUGGACGAGCUUCUGCUGACAGUGCUGUUGUCAGAAUGUACAGGGACAGCAGAGAAAAUCAGCAUGAGAACAGGAGUGUUGUACAAAAUGCCUUUGCAGAAGAAUAGCCUCGGAUUGUGUUCCAUGGAGAUUUCUGUGAGUCGGGCCUUUGUAUCGAUUUACUCAUUGAUCAGCUACAAUGGUGCAGUGAUCGUAAAAUUUGAUAUCACUGUAGAAUUUACUGCUUUUGGAAGACUGUUAAAGCUACACGAAGAGGUACAAUAUCACAUCAUCUACCAUUAAUGAAGCAAUUACUGGGACAACCUUUCACUGGUGUAAGAGUCCAGCACUUGCUGCUUGGCAAACCACCUCUGACGGAUACACAGGCUCGAGAAGCCUUUUACCUUUCCCAUGUGGUUUGCAAGGAGAAGACCGUGUGUGGAUGUACCCGGAGAGAAGAGAAAUCAAGCCUCUAUUGUAUGAUGGUGAUCCUGACUGCUAUAAGUAAAAGUUGUGCUCCAGUUUUGAAAUUGUGUCAUGUAAAAAUGAAACAUUGGGUAUGCACACCAUGCCAAAAGAUUCUCAGGCCUUUUUUUCAGUUUAAAGAAAAUAUUUAUGCAGUUUAAAUUAUUCCUGGAAAUUCUGGGUAUCAUAGCAUUUUACACAAAUGAAUUUUAUACCAAAUGUGCAGAUAAAUCUCAGAAUAAGCAAUCAUGUACUUUUCAUGGUCUGGUUUUACUCUUUCUGGAUUCCAAUUUUGUAUGCUAUUAAGCAAAUGGGUACACGAAACUGAUAAAAGCGAAAAUUUAAUUCUCAUUUUGUGUCUCCAACAAAAAGACUGUUUCCAUGUCAGAUAAAAUAAAUAUCAGGAAAGGAUGAAGUGCACAUCCCAAGUCUGAAAUCUAUGUCUCUCUUUUGCUUUUCUAAUAAAAGAUAAUAUCAGUGUGAAAAGCCAUGGCUUGGCUCAUCAUCUGCUUUUGUUUGCCCUUUUGAUUUCCUUUAUGGGUGUAAAAGUAAUAAAAUCAAGCAACCGUAUCAUAACAAGGGAAAAUUGAUAUACUUUAAUGUUCUCUCAGUUAUUCUUAAACUGGAAUUUGGCUUGUUUUGUUGCUUAGGAAAUUCAUUUGUGAUAUUUUUCUUAUGUCACUCCUUAACAUUUACAGUAUAAUUACAAAAUACCUAUGAAGAGCACGGCAUGAG